GACGAACGCUGGCGGCGUGCUUAACACAUGCAAGUCGAACGAAGUGGCGAACGGGUGAGUAACGCGUAAUCAACCUGCCCUUCAGAGGGGGACAACAGUUGGAAACGACUGCUAAUACCGCAUACUGACGGCGGGGAUUGCGUCUGAUUAGCUAGUUGGAGGGGUAACGGCCCACCAAGGCGAUGCUCAGGAGACGGGCUGAGAGGAGGAACGGCCAAAUUGGGACUGAGACACGGCCCAGACGCCGACGGGGGACAGCAGGGGGGAAUCUUCCGCAAUGGACGAAAGUCUGACGGAGCAACGCCGCGUGAGUGAUGACGGCCUUCGGGUUGUAAAGCUCUGUUAAUCGGGACGCGGUACCGGAAUAGAAAGCCACGGCUAACUACGUGCCAGCAGCCGCGGUAAUAC
This 408-nucleotide ribosomal RNA is filed under the name uncultured bacterium. RNAcentral's name for it is "partial 16S ribosomal RNA". It matches the Rfam family "Bacterial small subunit ribosomal RNA", at positions 28 to 526 of the family's 1533-position model. The record is from RNAcentral.